RNAcentral lists this unclassified non-coding RNA (400 nucleotides) under Hevea brasiliensis (rubber tree). The record is from RNAcentral. Lineage: Eukaryota; Viridiplantae; Streptophyta; Magnoliopsida; Malpighiales; Euphorbiaceae.
AUCAUCACACAUCAUAAGUUUAGACAUCUCAUGUUUCAAUUGAGCAUGUCCUGCCUCCAAUUCUUGAAUCUUCUUAAGCAGCUCCUCAGCUGGUGGUGUUGAUCCUUGUGCUGCUGAUUCUGCUUUUCUACUAUCCAUUUCAAUUUCAAGAUUGAUCAAAACCCCUCUUCACCAGUUUGACUUUAUCACUGAAACCCCACUAUGGAAUGCAUUUCUAGCUGAAAAAUAAAGAAAUUAACUACCCUAUUGAGUUCAAGACUCCACCUUUUUCAGGUCUCUCUACAAAUUAACAACAACAACAAAAACAAACCCGAGGUUCGGGGAGGGUUAAGUGUACGCAAACCUUAUCACUAUCCUCUCUAGCUCUCUCUACAAAUCAAUAUCUGCAAAUGAAAAAAAG